CUGCGAAAGCCGGAUUAAUACCGCAUACGCUCUGUGGAGGAAAGCGGGGGAUCUUCGGACCUCGCGCUCAAGGGGCGGCCGAUGGCGGAUUAGCUAGUUGGUGGGGUAAAGGCCUACCAAGGCGACGAUCCGUAGCUGGUCUGAGAGGACGACCAGCCACACUGGGACUGAGACACGGCCCAGACUCCUACGGGAGGCAGCAGUGGGGAAUUUUGGACAAUGGGGGCAACCCUGAUCCAGCAAUGCCGCGUGUGUGAAGAAGGCCUUCGGGUUGUAAAGCACUUUUGUCCGGAAAGAAAACGGCCUGGUUAAUACCCGGGUUGGAUGACGGUACCGGAAGAAUAAGCACCGGCUAACUACGUGCCAGCAGCCGCGGUAAUACGUAGGGUGCGAGCGUUAAUCGGAAUUACUGGGCGUAAAGCGUGCGCAGGCGGUUUGCUAAGACCGAUGUGAAAUCCCCGGGCUUAACCUGGGAACUGCAUUGGUGACUGGCAAGCUAGAGUAUGGCA
Molecule: ribosomal RNA, 509 nt
Filed under: uncultured Burkholderia sp.
Lineage: Bacteria; Pseudomonadati; Pseudomonadota; Betaproteobacteria; Burkholderiales; Burkholderiaceae
Description: bacterial SSU rRNA
Rfam family: Bacterial small subunit ribosomal RNA
Source: RNAcentral